CACUAUGGCCAUGCCAACCUGAACACACCAGAUCUCGUCUGAUCUCGGAAGCUAAGUAGGGUCAGGCCUAGUUAGUACUUGGAUGGGAGACCACCUAGGAGUACCAGGUGCAUAGGCU
This 118-nucleotide ribosomal RNA is filed under the name Pteropus alecto (black flying fox). Lineage: Eukaryota; Metazoa; Chordata; Mammalia; Chiroptera; Pteropodidae. The record is from RNAcentral.